Molecule: ribosomal RNA, 253 nt
Filed under: uncultured bacterium
Lineage: Bacteria
Description: partial 16S ribosomal RNA
Rfam family: Bacterial small subunit ribosomal RNA
Source: RNAcentral
UACGUAGGGUGCAAGCGUUAAUCGGAAUUACUGGGCGUAAAGCGUGCGCAGGCGGUUGUGUACGACAGAUGUGAAAUCCCCGGGCUCAACCUGGGAACUGCAUUUGUGACUGCACGGCUGGAGUGCGGCAGAGGGGGAUGGAAUUCCGUGUGUAGCAGUGAAAUGAGUAGAUAUGCGGAGGAACACCGAUGGCGAAGGCAAUCCCCUGGGCCUGCACUGACGCUCAUGCACGAAAGCGUGGGGAGCAAACAGG